CUUCGGGAGUCUUUUCGUUAAGACCCGAGUUCGGAGUCCUCGGUCUUCGGAUCGUGUUCUCUCAGAUGCGUCGCGCCGAUCGCCUGAUGGGUCACUCUAAUGCCUAAGCGUGGAGUCCCUCGGAGUCCGAGACGCGCUUGACCGGGUGUUGAGCCCGCGUCACCAAGUCCGCACGUCCAACGUGGCGGUACUACAACACAUGACCUCAUUGGGGUAGGACAACCCGC
Molecule: ribosomal RNA, 227 nt
Filed under: uncultured Tulasnella
Lineage: Eukaryota; Fungi; Basidiomycota; Agaricomycetes; Cantharellales; Tulasnellaceae
Description: partial 28S ribosomal RNA
Source: RNAcentral